This is a long non-coding RNA of Carassius auratus (goldfish), 1653 nucleotides long. The record is from Ensembl. Lineage: Eukaryota; Metazoa; Chordata; Actinopteri; Cypriniformes; Cyprinidae.
AUGAUUACAUGGGCUGAAAAAAGAACUUGAAAAUCAAAUAAGGUACUUAUGUAUUAUUCGGAUGAGGUUUGUUAUUUUAAAUAGUAACGUAUAAAUAAGUCUGAUGCAGGUGUGUGGACACUGUUAAUGAAAUAGAAAGGCAGUCCUGCACACUGUCACAGCCUGGAAAUCGUCACCAGACAUUGGAUAUUUUAAUAGCAUCAUACAAUAAACCAGUAUUUCAGGAUAAACUGAGAGAUCUGUGAUCAGUCAUGCACAUAAAGAUGUUUUUGUUUUAUCAGUUACUGACAUCUGUGUGUGUCGGUAGAGGGAUGGACUCUGGAAACAGUCUUGAACACAAAAAUGAAAAGGUACAAGUCAGAAGAUCACUUGCAGAGGUCUGACACACACUGAAUCUGUAGGAUGGCUCCUGCUGCUUUACUCAUCGGCUGUCUGCUUGCCACAAUCAGCUGCUUAACCACAGGUAACAUUCACAUCAGCUGCGCUGUUACAGUAUGUAUGUCAGAUUUAGAUACAGUUUUCAUUAGAGAAUUAGUUCCACUUAUUUGAAUCUCAUUGAAAGAUAUGUAAAUGCUUCAGAUUCUCUGUUUGUAAAUAUUUUUAUUUCAUUCCACAGGUCAAACUACCACAUCAAUUAAUGCUGUUCCUGCAUCACCUAAUGCAACUGACAUGUCGGACAAUGCAACUAAUGUAUUGCCUGACGCAACUAGUGCAACUACCAUUUUGCCCAACGGGGGUAACACAUCACCUAGCACCACCAUGGCACCCAACUCAACCAACACGGUGCCCAGUGUAACCAACACGCCGCCCAACAUGCCGCCAAAUGCAACCAACAUGGCAACCAACACAGACACCAUGGCGCCAACGCAACAACGCAACAAUGCAACCAACACACCACCAAAUGCAACCAACACACCACCAAAUGCAACCAACACGCCGCCCAACGCAACCAACACACCACCAAAUGCAACCAACACACCACCAAAUGCAACCAACACGCCACCAAAUGCAACCAACACGCCGCCCAACGCAACCAACACGGCGCCAAAUGCAACUAGCGCAUUACCUAAUGCGACUACAACAAAUGCAACAACUCCUCAGGCUUCAUUGUAUGGAAGUUGUGCGAGUCCUGAUCUGUGCUGCUCUGGACAGAACAACAGCUGUCACCGCCUGAAUUGUUUUUGUGAUGUUGCUUGUCUGAGAUUACGUGACUGCUGCCCUGAUUUCAAACCCACCUGUCUCACAGUAAAAAACACCACAAACCCAAACAACACUUUGCCACUAACAGGAACAUGUUCGCAUCCGACUCUGUGCUGCAAUGGCACAGACUACAACUGUUUCAGAGGAUGUUUCUGUGAUGAGUCCUGCAAAAUGCUCAACGACUGCUGUCCCGACUACAACAGCACCUGCAGUUUCAAUAGCACAACUACAGCUCCACCCUUCAACUCCACUACAACUCCCCAUCAUAUCUCCACUGCAGCUCCACCCAAAGCACUCACUGUUCAGGAGGUGAAGGUGAAGAUGUUUUUGCCUGAAGAAGAGCAUCACGCUGCACUGCUUCAAGUUGGCACUGUGCUGGAGAAGUUGUUAAAAGAGAAUAAUACUGACAUCUACUCUUUCAAAGUUACGAAAAUUAAACGGGUAUCUCCAUAG